This is a long non-coding RNA of Nerophis lumbriciformis (worm pipefish), 871 nucleotides long. RefSeq lists it as uncharacterized. The record is from RefSeq and is a predicted model, not a curated record. Lineage: Eukaryota; Metazoa; Chordata; Actinopteri; Syngnathiformes; Syngnathidae.
GUCCGGUGAAAAGAGUCAAUCGUAGCCCGUUAGCUGCUAGCAUGUUAGCAAAAGAGUACUAGCAGCGAUCGGUUUCACCGGACGUGAAAAGCCAGCUGGAGCUGUCGGGACCUCUGCUGGCAGCACACUUGGACACACCCCUGCUCACGCUGGACACAGCACGCCCAUGCAGCGACAAGGCUGCAAGCAAUUUCGCAUCAGCACACCUGGGCCUGAUGAGAGGGAGCAACAUAAAAGCCAGCGGACCCAAAGGACCUUCGCCAGAACGUAGCCAAUCUUCCUGAUGUCUCCCCUGUUGCCUGUGAUCGUGUCCUGCCUCACGACCUCCACCUGGAUCUCUGCUUGCCUCCCUCGACCCUUGACCUCUGCUUGGACUCGGACAUCAUUGCCUCUCUCCAGCCCCCGACUGCUUGCCUCCCUGCUGACUGCCUCUUCGCCUUGCCCCUUGGAUUCGACGAACGAUUCAUACAACACGCACCGACAACACCCCCUGGUAAAACUUACAUUGUUAACCCUACACAUCGUCUGCACUCAUUCACUUGUGGUAGCAUACACACCCCACACACUCAUCAAGGUUUUCAAUAAACCUGAUAAACCGCAGUUCUGCCUUGGUGUCGCCUCCUUCCCUUUGCCCGGUACACAACAGUACGUUCUGGCCAAAAACAUGGCGGAACCGGGCGACGCCGGCGAGGCCCAGGCCCGAUUCCCCAGGACAUCCAACCUGUCUAUUCUUAGUGUCGUUGUCAAUGAGCACCAAGAGCGUUUUUUCGCUCUUGAGGACAAUUUGGAGAGAUCUUUCUCCGGACUACACUCUAGGCUGGACUGCCUAAUGCCUAGAGUGACUCCCGCUGCAGCUGCCCCGCAGCUUAUU